GACGAACGCUGGCGGCGUGCCUAACACAUGCAAGUCGAACGGGGUCAGCCCUUCGGGACUGACUUAGUGGCGAACGGGUGAGUAACGCGUGAGGAACCUGCCUUCCAGUGGGGGACAACAGUUGGAAACGACUGCUAAUACCGCAUAACAUGUACGGAUCGCAUGGUCUGUACAUCAAAGCUUUAUGUGCUGAAAGAUGGCCUCGCGUCUGAUUAGCUAGUUGGUGGGGUAACGGCCCACCAAGGCGACGAUCAGUAGCCGGUCUGAGAGGAUGAACGGCCACAUUGGGACUGAGAUACGGCCCAGACUCCUACGGGAGGCAGCAGUGGGGAAUAUUGGGCAAUGGGGGAAACCCUGACCCAGCAACGCCGCGUGAAGGAAGAAGGCCUUCGGGUUGUAAACUUCUUUACCUAGGGACGAAGAACGUGACGGUACCUGGAGAAAAAGGACAACGGACUAACUACGUG
RNAcentral lists this ribosomal RNA (467 nucleotides) under uncultured bacterium. RNAcentral's name for it is "bacterial SSU rRNA". It matches the Rfam family "Bacterial small subunit ribosomal RNA", at positions 28 to 507 of the family's 1533-position model. The record is from RNAcentral.